AGUGAACGCUGGCGGUAGGCCUAACACAUGCAAGUCGAACGGCAGCACAGUAAGAGCUUGCUCUUACGGGUGGCGAGUGGCGGACGGGUGAGGAAUACAUCGGAAUCUACUUUUUCGUGGGGGAUAACGUAGGGAAACUUACGCUAAUACCGCAUACGACCUACGGGUGAAAGCAGGGGAUCUUCGGACCUUGCUCGAUUGAAUGAGCCGAUGUCGGGUUAGCUAGUUGUCGGGGUAAAGGCACACCACGGCGACGAUCCGUAGAUGGUCUGAGAGGAUGAUCAGCCACACUGGAACUGAGACACGGUCCAGACUACUACGGGAGGCAGCAGUGGGGAAUAUUGGACAAUGGGCGCAAGCCUGAUCCAGCCAUACCGCGUGGGUGAAGAAGGCCUUCGGGUUGUAAAGCCCUUUUGUUGGGAAAGAAAAGCAGCAGGUUAAUACCCCGCUGUUCUGACGGUACCCAAAGAAUAAGCACCGGCUAACUUCGUG
This 492-nucleotide ribosomal RNA is filed under the name uncultured bacterium. RNAcentral's name for it is "partial 16S ribosomal RNA". It matches the Rfam family "Bacterial small subunit ribosomal RNA", at positions 29 to 507 of the family's 1533-position model. The record is from RNAcentral.